UACAGAGGUCUCAAGCGUUGUUCGGAUUUACUGGGCGUAAAGGGCGCGUAGGCGGCGCAACAAGUCACUUGUGAAAUCUCCGGGCUUAACCCGGAGCGGUCAAGUGAUACUGUCGUGCUAGAGUGCGGAAGGGGCUACUGGAAUUCUCGGUGUAGCGGUGAAAUGCGUAGAUAUCGAGAGGAACACCUGCGGCGAAGGCGGGUAGCUGGGCCGACACUGACGCUGAUGCGCGAAAGCGUGGGGAGCAAACAGG
Molecule: ribosomal RNA, 253 nt
Filed under: uncultured bacterium
Lineage: Bacteria
Description: partial 16S ribosomal RNA
Rfam family: Bacterial small subunit ribosomal RNA
Source: RNAcentral